This 395-nucleotide ribosomal RNA is filed under the name Palaeoncopus gunung. RNAcentral's name for it is "partial 16S ribosomal RNA". It matches the Rfam family "Bacterial large subunit ribosomal RNA", at positions 1832 to 2566 of the family's 2925-position model. Lineage: Eukaryota; Metazoa; Arthropoda; Arachnida; Opiliones; Sandokanidae. The record is from RNAcentral.
GGUUGUUAGUAGGUAUUAAUAAUCUUACCUGCCCAAUGCUUAAGUGAAUGGCUGCAGUAUAUUGACUGUACUAAGGUAGCAUAAUCAAUAGUUUUUUAAUUGGAGACUGGUAUGAAGGGUUAAAACCAUAAGGACGGUUUUGUUAAUUGAUUUUGAAUUUAAGUUAAAAGUAAAAACGCUUUUAUUAACCCUUGGGACGAGAAGACCCUAGAAGCUUUAUAUGCGAUGGUAUUUUGGUUGGGGUGACUAUUGAAGAGAUGGAUCUUUAAUUUUGGGAUUUGAUUGUUGUAAGUUACUCUAGGGAUAACAGCGUAAUUUGAUCUAUGAGUUCUUAUUUGAGAUGAAGUUUGCGACCUCGAUGUUGAAUUAAAUGGAAGUGAGGUGAAGGAGCUUUA